AGUCGAACGGCAGCAUGAUCUAGCUUGCUAGAUUGAUGGCGAGUGGCGAACGGGUGAGUAAUACAUCGGAACGUGCCCUGUAGUGGGGGAUAACUAGUCGAAAGAUUAGCUAAUACCGCAUACGACCUGAGGGUGAAAGUGGGGGACCGCAAGGCCUCAUGCUAUAGGAGCGGCCGAUGUCUGAUUAGCUAGUUGGUGAGGUAAAGGCUCACCAAGGCGACGAUCAGUAGCUGGUCUGAGAGGACGAUCAGCCACACUGGGACUGAGACACGGCCCAGACUCCUACGGGAGGCAGCAGUGGGGAAUUUUGGACAAUGGGCGAAAGCCUGAUCCAGCAAUGCCGCGUGUGUGAAGAAGGCCUUCGGGUUGUAAAGCACUUUUGUCCGGAAAGAAAUGGCUCUGGUUAAUACCUGGGGUCGAUGACGGUACCGGAAGAAUAAGGACCGGCUAACUACGUGCCAGCAGCCGCGGUAAUACGUAGGGUCCAAGCGUUAAUCGGAAUUACUGGGCGUAAAGCGUGCGCAGGCGGUUGUGCAAGACCGAUGUGAAAUCCCCGAGCUUAACUUGGGAAUUGCAUUGGUGACUGCACGGCUAGAGUGUGUCAGAGGGGGGUAGAAUUCCACGUGUAGCAGUGAA
Molecule: ribosomal RNA, 636 nt
Filed under: uncultured bacterium
Lineage: Bacteria
Description: bacterial SSU rRNA
Rfam family: Bacterial small subunit ribosomal RNA
Source: RNAcentral